This 500-nucleotide ribosomal RNA is filed under the name uncultured KB1 group bacterium. RNAcentral's name for it is "bacterial SSU rRNA". It matches the Rfam family "Bacterial small subunit ribosomal RNA", at positions 427 to 918 of the family's 1533-position model. Lineage: Bacteria; Candidatus Calescibacteriota. The record is from RNAcentral.
AAACUCCUUUUCUGGGGGACGAAUAAGGUCAGUAGGUAAUGGCUGACCGAUGACGGUACCCCAGGAACAAGCGCCGGCUAACUUCGUGCCAGCAGCCGCGGUAAUACGAAGGGCGCAAGCGUUAUCCGGAAUUACUGGGCGUAAAGGGCGUCUAGGCGGUCGGUCAAGUCAGUCGUGAAAGUCCUUGGCUAAACUGAGGAAAGUCGACCGAUACUGAUCGGCUAGAGGGACGUAGAGGUAAGCGGAACUCUCGGAGUAGCGGUGAAAUGCGUAGAGACCGAGAGGUACCCCGAUGGUGAAGACAGCUUACUGGGCGUCUCCUGACGCUGAAGCGCUAAGGCCAGGGGAGCGAAGGGGAUUAGAUACCCCCGUAGUCCUGGCUUCAAACUAUGUGGGCUUGGUGUCGGCUCCCGAUAGAGAGUCGUUGCCGGAGCUAACGUGUUAAGCCCACCGCCUGGGGAUUACGUCCGCAAGGAUGAAACUCAAAGGAAUUGACGGAA